Molecule: ribosomal RNA, 255 nt
Filed under: uncultured bacterium
Lineage: Bacteria
Description: partial 16S ribosomal RNA
Rfam family: Bacterial small subunit ribosomal RNA
Source: RNAcentral
CGCACGGGUGAGUAACACGUAUCCAACCUGCCGAUGACUCGGGGAUAGCCUUUCGAAAGAAAGAUUAAUACCCGAUGGCAUAGUUCUUCCGCAUGGUGGAACUAUUAAAGAAUUUCGGUCAUCGAUGGGGAUGCGUUCCAUUAGGUUGUUGGCGGGGUAACGGCCCACCAAGCCUUCGAUGGAUAGGGGUUCUGAGAGGAAGGUCCCCCACAUUGGAACUGAGACACGGUCCAAACUCCUACGGGAGGCAGCAUG